ACAGGGAGCAGCCAUCAGAGGAGGCCUGGCCUGGGGAGCUUGGAGGGGCAAUCUGCCCAAGGGUCGGGGUGGAGCUUGUGUGGCAGAAGAGGCUGCCUCCUCCUUUGUGGAGUCCUGUCUAAGAUUGCAGUGAACUUAAGGAACCUCAUCAACUGAUUGUCACUAAAGCAUUACUGACUGAUAUUUGGGUCAUGUGGAAGAAGCUAGAACAUCACGGGGCCUGUCCAGGGGAGUCUGAGGCCACAGAGGAGAUGCAGCCACAGCUGGAAAUACUGCCUAAGUGUGCCUAUCUGUUCAGUGGAGGAGUUGACCAGCCUGGUCCAAGAUGGCCAUGGAAGAAGACCCAGGUAUGUAAACUGAUUGCUCAUCCAAGCUCCUCCCAGGAAUUUGCUGCCCUCACCAUCCCUGACCACCGAUGUCUUCUCCUUCUGCUGUCCCAGACUGGUGCUGUAGUACUGUGCCCACUUCUUCUUCUUUUUUUUUUUUUUUUUUUUUGAGCGCCUCACUCUCUUGCUUAGGCUGGAGUACAAUGGUGCGAUUCUAGCUCACUGCAGCCUUCACCUCCUGAGUUCAAGCGAUUCUCCCGCCUCAGUCUCCUGAGUAGCUGGGAUUACAGGCAUGCACUACCACAACUGGCUGACUUUUGUAUUUUUAGUAGAGACGGGGUUUCACCAUGUUGGCCAGACUGGUGGCAAGCUCCUGACCUCAAGUGAUCUGCUCACCUGGGCCUCCCAAAGUGCUGGGAUUAUGGGCAUGAGCUACCAUGCCCUGCCAUGUACCCACUUCUCUCCAUAGCUGUGAGCCCAUCAGCCAUGGGCCCAGACCUGCCACCCUGUGAGGCCAGGAGCGACUCCAGCUGUCCAGGCUCCACCUUCUGCCUGGGGAUAAAGAGCCCUUUCCCCUCAGAGGACUAGGAGGCACCUCCUGGCCUUGGGCAGGGGUCCCCUUGAGCUCUGCCCUAUCUGUCCAGGACUCCUCCUUUCUUCCUCUCCAGGAAAGAAGAAUGGACCAGUUUCUAGAAAAGUUUCUAGAAAGACUCCAAAAGAGGUGCACACCGUGAGAGACUACUGGUCUCCCUCCAUGGAAGCUGAGGUCACACUGUCCCAAAGCUUCUGUAGACUCUCAGCUCUCAACCCAAGUAGGUUAAAAUGCACCCACUUCCCGCAUUAUAACACUUUGGAAUCACGUUAUAUGAGUUAAGGUGUGCUAUAUUGACAGGUUGUCCUAAUAUUACAUUUUGCAGAUGUUUAAUUAAACAUGCAGGAAUUUCAAACUUCCCAUGACUGAGCUCAA
Molecule: long non-coding RNA, 1293 nt
Organism: Sapajus apella (tufted capuchin)
Lineage: Eukaryota; Metazoa; Chordata; Mammalia; Primates; Cebidae
Exons: 3
Source: RefSeq, a predicted model, not a curated record